CGCGUGGAGAACCUGCCGUGGGUGUGGGGGGAGUACCGGCCCAGAAAUGGCCGCUAAUACCGCAUACGAUCGCUUACUGUCGGGUAAGCGAGGAAAGCCGCAAGGCGCAGCAUGAGGGCUCCGCGUCGGAUUAGCUAGUUGGCGGGGUAACGGCCCACCAAGGCGACGAUCCGUAGCUGGUCUGAGAGGACGGCCAGCCACACUGGGACUGAGACACGGCCCAG
Molecule: ribosomal RNA, 224 nt
Filed under: uncultured bacterium
Lineage: Bacteria
Description: partial 16S ribosomal RNA
Rfam family: Bacterial small subunit ribosomal RNA
Source: RNAcentral